UGGGGGAUAUUGCACAAUGGAGGAAACUCUGAUGCAGCGAUGCCGCGUGGGGGAAGAAGGUUUUCGGAUUGUAAACCCCUGUCUUCGGGGACGAUAAUGACGGUACCCGAGGAGGAAGCUCCGGCUAACUACGUGCCAGCAGCCGCGGUAAUACGUAGGGAGCGAGCGUUGUCCGGAAUUACUGGGUGUAAAGGGAGUGUAGGCGGGACAGUAAGUCAGGUGUGAAAUUUAUGGGCUCAACUCAUAACCUGCAAUUGAAACUACUGUUCUUGAGUGAAGUAGAGGUUGGCGGAAUUCCUAGUGUAGCGGUGAAAUGCGUAGAUAUUAGGAGGAACAUCAGUGGCGAAGGCGGCCAACUGGGCUUUUACUGACGCUGAGGCUCGAAAGCGUGGGGAGCAAACA
Molecule: ribosomal RNA, 402 nt
Filed under: uncultured prokaryote
Description: bacterial SSU rRNA
Rfam family: Bacterial small subunit ribosomal RNA
Source: RNAcentral